Molecule: ribosomal RNA, 511 nt
Filed under: bacterium enrichment culture clone ALO1_GLFRUDD03GYMU0
Lineage: Bacteria
Description: bacterial SSU rRNA
Rfam family: Bacterial small subunit ribosomal RNA
Source: RNAcentral
GAGUUUGAUCUUGGCUCAGAUUGAACGCUGGCGGCAUGCCUUACACAUGCAAGUCGAACGGCAGCACGGGAGCUUGCUCCUGGUGGCGAGUGGCGAACGGGUGAGUAAUGCAUCGGAACGUAUCCUGGAGUGGGGGAUAACGUAGCGAAAGUUACGCUAAUACCGCAUAUUCUGUGAGCAGGAAAGCGGGGGACCUUCGGGCCUCGCGCUCUCGGAGCGGCCGAUGUCGGAUUAGCUAGUUGGUGAGGUAAAGGCUCACCAAGGCGACGAUCCGUAGCAGGUCUGAGAGGAUGAUCUGCCACACUGGAACUGAGACACGGUCCAGACUCCUACGGGAGGCAGCAGUGGGGAAUUUUGGACAGUGGGCGAAAGCCUGAUCCAGCCAUGCCGCGUGUGUGAGAAGGUCUUCGGAUUGUAAAGCACUUUAAGUUGGGAGGAAGGGCAGUAAGUUAAUAACCUUGACUGUUUUGACGUUACCGACAGAAUAAGCACCGGCUAACUCUGUGCCACG